AUGGCUCGGGAGAGGUGGUGCCAUCUGGGGAAGCAGGUGAGUGAUCAGGCAUGGGCCAGGAAUUGUUCAUGCGGGCUGCCCACCAGCCAGCCCUGGCAGAGGCGCCACUGUGAUGGCGAACCCCAGGGGCCCUGGGCAUCCCCUGCCUGGCUCCAGGUGGACAGGCCGGGCUGCAGCGGGAGGUGGGCAGCGGGAGGGUAGUGGGACAACAGUGGCCCACAGAUCAUCCCUGGGGAUGUUUACCUGAGUCACCUGUGGCCUCCCCAGGGCACAGGGGCGGCCCAGGACCCCAAGCCGGCCGGGCACUGACCCUGAGCUUCUGUUUCCAGGUCUCCGACAGAGAGAUGUGGGCUCUGAAGAAGGUAGAGCAGCUGGGGAGAGCAGGGCCUGCCUGGGUCCUGGGGGAGGGCCUGAGAGGGCGGCUCCAUCCUGGCAGGGCCGCUGAGCCAGCCAGUGUCACCAAAAUGGGACGGGGCGGAGUGGGCUCAGCGGGCUCGGAGGACAGGGCCCAUGCAACAAGCACCCCAAUCCCGAAAGCCUCCACGAGCUCAGACCUCUGUGGGGCAGGGACAGGAAACUCCCAUCUGCUGUCCUGUUUUCGUUUUUCUGGUGUUUUGGGUGGCCUUGACCUCACUGUGCAACCCAGCCUGGCCUCACACUCAGUGUGAACCUCCUGCCUCAGCCUCCAGUCCGCUGGGAUUACAAGCAGGGACCACUGCACUUGGGAGAUUUUUUGUUUGUUUCUGUUUGUUGCCGCAUUUGUGUUCGAGUGAAACGUUGUAUCUUGCUUAUUCCCAAGGAGAGGCGGAGGAGCAGUUAAGGAGACUGAACAUAAAGAAGGAUGACGAGUUCUUCCACUUCGUGCUGCUGUGCUUCGGCAUCGGGGCCCUGUUGGUGAGCUACCACUACUACGCAGACUGGUUCAUGUCCCUGGGCGUCGGCCUGCUCACCUUCGCCUCGCUGGAGACCGUGGGCAUCUACUUCGGGCUGGUGUACCGGAUCCACAGCGUGCUGCGCGGCUUCCUCCCGCUCUUCCAGAAGAUCAGACAAUUGGGUAACUUUCAUGUUUGGAGCUUCCUGUGCCCCACCCCCCCCCCGCUGCCUAGUUUUGGAGGGUGGGGGAUUGAGACGGUCUCAAUAUGUCACCCAGGCUGGCCUUGGACUCCCAACCCUCAACUUCCUGAGUGCUGGGAUUACAGGCAUGUGCCACCAUGCCCAGAGGAAUUUCUGGUUUUGUUUUUUUUUGGAAAUAGGUUAUUCUUAUGUAGUCUAGGCUGGCCUCAGAUUUGUAGCAGUUCUCCUGCCUCGGCCUCCUGAGUGCUGGGAUUACAGGCAUGUGUGCUCCUCUUCCCUGGUUCUGUUUUGAAAGAGGUUUAAUAUGUAGGAAACAUCCUGGGGGCAGGCAGGUACUUGAGUUUGGACUCUCCGUCUACCAGCUUAUGAGCUACGUGACUCUGGAAGGACUUGUGGCCGGUUUUUUUUGUUUGGUUUUGUUUUUGCAGUGCUGGGAGGGAACUCAUCCUUCUCAUAACCUCUCUGAGCCUCCUCUGUUUUAUGCCCUGGAUAACUGGUGUAGUCAAUCCCAGUACGCAGGGCAUGUGCUGGCCAAACGCUGUGGAAAGUGAAGGCCUGUGGCUCAGUCACUCACAGGAGGCUCCGUUCCCUAGCACAGUCCCUCCACGGCAGUGUUUGCCUGAUGGCUCCCUGAAGUUGGCCUUAGCAGUUUCCCUAGUGAAGACACCAAAGCACAGAGAGCUGUAGCCACUUGCCUGGGGUCGCACAGCUAGAUUGGCCGGCCUGGACUGGAGCAGGUUCUCUUUCAGCUGGGUGCGCGUUGUGCAUGCCUGAGAUCCCAGCUACUCCAGGACAGGGGUCACAAGUUCGAGGCCAGCCUGGGCACCUUAGCGAGACCCUGUCUCAAAAUAGAAUGAGAGAAAGGUUGUAGAUGUGGCUGAGUGGUACAGCGCUUGAUAGGGAAGAAAGUAGCUCCUCCUUGCUGAGCAGCAGCUCCUGUUCACCCUUAUGACUCAGACCAGAGGAGCCGGGGGCAGCGGCUCUGCGCUGGGGAAGCAUCUGCUCCUUUCAUUAAUGAAGGACUCAUUUGUCACUGUGGCUGUGGGUUGCAGAGACUCACGGUAGCUGCAGGAAGCAGCCCGCCCUGCCCAUUCUGCAGGUGCUGGGCUCGGGGGGUGGGGUGGGGACCCUGGCUGCCUUCAACCCGGCUACCCUGCACUUCGCCUUCCAGGGUUUAGGAAGACGGACUGAGGCCUCUUCUGGGUGGCAGUUGCACCGGCCCAGGUUUGACCAUAGCCUCCCUGAGGCCACAAGGACAGUGACAUUUGGGUGACACCCGGGAGGCUGAGCCACGCAAUAAAGAUGCUCUUUCCCCUUCGUGUGGUGUGACCGUUGGCGGCAGCUGGGCAGGGUUCCCAUCUGGCAGCUCGGGCUCAAGGUCCUGCUGUCGAGACGAGGCAGGUAGGGCUGGGCCUGUGCACCUGGAGCAGCAGGAAGGGCUGAGGCCGCCAGCACCACCAGGGCCUGGAGCUGAGAUCUCUCUAGGCUCCUGGCUUCUUCCAAGUCCUCAGCCAUGCUGGAACCUCUCAGGUCCUACAGAGCCACACUGCGACAGAUGGGCCAUUGUCCUGACGCAGGCACCACAUGCCGGGUCCCCGAGGUGAACCCAACGUGGGUAACGCAUUGGACAUUAAAGCCAUACAUUUGAGAGUCUUCCUGCUGCCCUGCCGGCCAGCAACAUCCCUCUUGCCCAGGACUCCAUCAAGAUGCAAAUAAACACCCUCUCUCCAAUUCUGAAGAGUCAGCUACACAUUCCUUUAGUUUCCUUGAACAUGAAAACACAGUUGAGGUCUCCCUUGAACCAUCAGGUAGGGAAGGCACUUGUCCUACAGGAUAAAGUAUAAGAGUGGAUAAAGGCUAGUGCUUCACUUUAGGUCCGAGCCUUCACUCACGAGUGGGAUAGAAGAAAGAGAUUUGUGAACAUUCUUGUGAAAAAGAUUUGGGAUGUUAGUACUCUCAGUUCAACAAACAUCAAAGGAUCGAGGUAAAGUGUGUGAGUUGGCUUUUGUUUGCUGGGACAAAUUACCUGACAUACACGAUUUAAAGGAGGAGAGGUUUAUUUGGGCUUGUGGUUUCAGAUGGGUCAGUCCAUGGCCAGCUGGCUACAAGGAGGAAUCGAGUGGUAUAAAGGAAGGGAGAGAAAAGCUGCUCACCUCAUGGCAGCCAGGAAGCAGGGAUCCAGGGAGCCAGAGAACAGAAACACCCUUCCAAAUCAUGUGACCUGCUUUCUCCAGCUGGGCCCCGCCUCCUGUUAGCCUAUUUAUCUUUUGAAUCACCGAUGGAUGGAUCCCUUGAUGAGAUUAGAGCUGUCCUGGGGCUGUUCAUCCAGUGUAAGAAACAAUUUGACCAGAGUAAGAAACACCUAGCAGAUUAGUAUGGUUCUGAAGCCAGGUGUGGUGGUAUACACCUACAAUCCCAACACUUGGGAGGCUGAAGCAGAAGGAUUGCUGCGAGUUUUCCACCAGCCUGGACUACAUAGUUUAAGGUCGGUCUGAACUACAUAGUGAGACCUUGUCUCAAAAAAUAAAAAGUAUAGUUCUGGGUAUGUCUGUGGGUGUGUCUGGAGAUGGGUGACAUGCAGGCCAGCAAACUGAGGGGGAAGACCUGCCCCCUGUGGGUGGCACCAGCCAAUAGGCUUGUAAUUCGCGUGGAGUAAAAGGGAAGAGGGAAGAAGUUUGCAAAUGUGUGAAGAGCUCCAGCCUGCCUGAGCAGUGCACCUUCUGCUGCUGUUGCCUGUGGACCUUGGACUCCACUUUCUUCAACCUCUAACCCAGACUCACACCUGCGACCCUCCAGGAGCUUCCAGGCCUUUGACCUUGGAUGGGCGCUGCAUCCUUGACUCAUCUUGUUCUGUGGCUGCCAGACUUUGGGGCUGAGCAGCUACUGUUCUUCAGUGUGCAGAUGGCCAUUGCAGAUUCUCCCACCUCAGACCCUGUACGCUACCUAAUAAAUUCCUUUACAGAAUUAUUCACAUACUUUCUUUUGAUUCUGUUCCAGUGGAGAACCUUGACCCGCACACCUCAUCCAGUCACCUUUCAGAAGCCCCAGCUCUAAUCACAUGAGACUUCAGGGGAACAUUUUAUAUCUAAUGCAUAACGUAAGGUCACAAAACAAAAUCCACCGCCUAUUUGGGUUCCAUUAAUGUAGGUAUGCAGCCUGCAGUGGAGGGGAUAGUAAUAGGUCCUACCUUACACUGGCCAGGUCA
Long non-coding RNA from Chinchilla lanigera (long-tailed chinchilla), 4279 nucleotides. The record is from Ensembl. Lineage: Eukaryota; Metazoa; Chordata; Mammalia; Rodentia; Chinchillidae.